AGAGAUAUAAUAAUCUCUUUAAUAAAAUGCCUCAACUCGACACUGCAACAUGGAUCUUAACAAGAGAUACUCAUAAUUAUCUCACUAUUUGGCAUCUAUCUGCUUAAAAUAAUGAAUCAAGUAAUUAUCCAAAUUACCCCUUCAAAUGAAAAGAAAAAAGCUACAAAAAGCACCUUACCCUGACAAACAAAAUGAACGAAAAAUUUAUUUGCCCCAUUCGUCACACCAACAAUUAUAGGUAUUACAACCCUACCUAUUAUUAUUAUAUUUCCCUGUGUUAUACUAUCAUCCCCAAAACGAUGACUACCAAACCGAAUUCAAACACUACAAAUCUGACUAAUUCGCUUAAUUACUAAACAAAUAAUGACAAUGCAUAACAAACAAGGACGAACCUGGACCCUAAUACUAAUCUCUUUAAUUCUCUUUAUCGCUUCUACUAAUCUCUUAGGGCUACUCCCAUAUUCAUUCACACCUACAACUCAACUAUCAAUAAAUAUUGGUAUUACAACCCUACCUAUUAUUAUUAUAUUUCCCUGUGUUAUACUAUCAUCCCCAAAACGAUGACUACCAAACCGAAUUCAAACACUACAAAUCUGACUAAUUCGCUUAAUUACUAAACAAAUAAUGACAAUGCAUAACAAACAAGGACGAACCUGGACCCUAAUACUAAUCUCUUUAAUUCUCUU
Molecule: long non-coding RNA, 686 nt
Filed under: Monodelphis domestica (gray short-tailed opossum)
Lineage: Eukaryota; Metazoa; Chordata; Mammalia; Didelphimorphia; Didelphidae
Description: lncRNA (ENSMODG00000050138.1)
Source: RNAcentral